UACGAAGGGGGCUAGCGUUGCUCGGAAUUACUGGGCGUAAAGCGCACGUAGGCGGAUUGUUAAGUCGGGGGUGAAAUCCUGGAGCUCAACUCCAGAACUGCCUUCGAUACUGGCGAUCUCGAGUUCGGGAGAGGUGAGUGGAACUGCGAGUGUAGAGGUGAAAUUCGUAGAUAUUCGCAAGAACACCAGUGGCAAAGGCGGCUCACUGGCCCGAUACUGACGCUGAGGUGCGAAAGCGUGGGGAGCAAACAGG
Molecule: ribosomal RNA, 253 nt
Filed under: uncultured bacterium
Lineage: Bacteria
Description: partial 16S ribosomal RNA
Rfam family: Bacterial small subunit ribosomal RNA
Source: RNAcentral